UGUAGCUCAUUUUCCACGUGUUCUAGGCAUGAGAAACGUGUGCAAAUACAUGGCAAUUGACCCACGAAUUGUGCCUGAUGAUUAGGCUUGUAUGAUGCAAUGUGGAAAGGGUUGAAUCCUCCUAAAAAUUCACCCUUUCCCCUCUUUUGUAAUCACUUUGAGAUAUAUGUAAUGACAUGUUGUUGAGAUCACUCUAGCCCUCAUUUUUCUUUUAGUCAUCAGCCAGAGAGAGACCUCAACUUCCUCUAGCCACCCUUCCUUAGUUAGGAACUCAAGCUUCCACCGAAACACCUCACCACAUCCAUAAACACGAAACUCAAGCCUUAAUUCUUCACUCUAAUGUGACUUUUGCUACAUCCUUCCAUCCUUCUAUUUUUUAGAGUGAUCUAGAGCUUUAAUCCA
Molecule: long non-coding RNA, 402 nt
Filed under: Vigna radiata
Lineage: Eukaryota; Viridiplantae; Streptophyta; Magnoliopsida; Fabales; Fabaceae
Description: long non-coding RNA (VRAD_LNC013963)
Source: RNAcentral